AAGUCGUAACAAGGUUUCCGUAGGUGAACCUGCGGAAGGAUCAUUAACACGUAUCCAAACGUAAAAAACCCCCCCCGUGAACAUUCAUCCUGCUCUUGUAACCCGCGAAGCUUGCAAUCUCUGGUAAAUCAUAGCCCGGAAAGUAGUUUUGAUUCAGAGACCUCUGGCCCGUGAGAUUCUUUGAGACGUUACAAUUUGAGCGGUAGUUCUAUAGGCCUUGUUUCCCCAAGCAGUCAGUGUCUGAAAGUGUCAUUGAUUGUGCAAGGAUAACGCUUCACGAUUCUUGUAGACCGCAUCUCGCGGGCAGGAGCUAGGCCAAAGGGUCCCCAUGCCCCCUUACAACCCCACAGUUUAAUGUGAAGCUCAAUGUAAUACAUUGGGUAAAAAAACCGAACAACUGUUAACAAUGGAUAUCUUGGUUCUC
Molecule: unclassified non-coding RNA, 424 nt
Filed under: fungal sp.
Lineage: Eukaryota; Fungi
Description: partial internal transcribed spacer region
Rfam family: Eukaryotic small subunit ribosomal RNA (bases 1-46)
Source: RNAcentral